Podarcis lilfordi (Lilford's wall lizard) is the source of this 77-nucleotide non-coding RNA. Lineage: Eukaryota; Metazoa; Chordata; Lepidosauria; Squamata; Lacertidae. The record is from the annotation of a GenBank genome assembly.
UUCAGGAAUAGCUCGGUUGGUAGAGCGUGAGGCUCUUAAUCUCAGGGUCGUGGGUUUGAGCCCCGCGUUGGGAGAAA